UUCAGAGAAGUGAUUUUAGCCUGAGCUACACAGGCAGGAAGACCACCAGCCUGCAAGGCAGGACGUACGAAUGAUGUUAUUUCUGGCAAGGAGGACAUGGCUGCUGUGGUUGAUUGGCUGUGGAAUUCCAGGGGAGCAAGGCACUAGGAAGUGGGGAACGCUGCCAGGCCCAGCAGCUCAUCAGGAGCUUGCACUUGGCCCAGUUAGGGCUGGCCGUGGGACACGCUUGUUGAAGCUGCUGCCGUAAGCUGCCCCUCUGCACCAGGAGACAGAUCCCAUUACCCCACCUACAGCUGCUUCCUGGUACAAGAGAAGAGUUACCAUUUGAAGUGACUCUGUAGGAGAGUCUGACAAACAUGUUUGCUUUUCACUGACAAUUAAAAUUGUUUUGCUGCUAA
RNAcentral lists this non-coding RNA (398 nucleotides) under Pongo abelii (Sumatran orangutan). Lineage: Eukaryota; Metazoa; Chordata; Mammalia; Primates; Hominidae. The record is from RNAcentral.